RNAcentral lists this ribosomal RNA (468 nucleotides) under uncultured bacterium. RNAcentral's name for it is "partial 16S ribosomal RNA". It matches the Rfam family "Bacterial small subunit ribosomal RNA", at positions 28 to 507 of the family's 1533-position model. The record is from RNAcentral.
GACGAACGCUGGCGGCGUGCUUAACACAUGCAAGUCGAACGGAAAGGCCCUGCUUUUGUGGGGUGCUCGAGUGGCGAACGGGUGAGUAACACGUGAGUAACCUGCCCUUGACAUUGGGAUAACUUCAGGAAGCUGGGGCUAAUACAGGAUAGGAGCUCCUGCUGCAUGGUGGGGGUUGGAAAGUUUCGGCGGUUGGGGAUGGACUCGCGGCUUAUCAGCUUGUUGGUGGGGUAGUGGCUUACCAAGGCUUUGACGGGUAGCCGGCCUGAGAGGGUGACCGGCCACAUUGGGACUGAGAUGCGGCACAGACUCCUACGGGAGGCAGCGGUGGGGAAUAUUGCACAAUGGGCGGAAGCCUGAUGCAGCAACGCCGCGUGCGGGAUGACGGCCUUCGGGUUGUAAACCGCAUUCGCCUGUGACGGAGCGUGAGUGACGGUAAUGGGUAAAGAAGCACCGGCUAACUACGUG